This 502-nucleotide ribosomal RNA is filed under the name Cerithidea ornata. RNAcentral's name for it is "partial 16S ribosomal RNA". It matches the Rfam family "Bacterial large subunit ribosomal RNA", at positions 1817 to 2597 of the family's 2925-position model. Lineage: Eukaryota; Metazoa; Mollusca; Gastropoda; Potamididae. The record is from RNAcentral.
UGCUCUUUGUUUAAUUUUUAUAAAGAGUCGAGCCUGCCCAGUGAAAAUUUCAACGGCCGCGGUACUCUGACCGUGCAAAGGUAGCAUAAUCAUUUGCCUUAUAAUUGAAGGCUAGUAUGAAUGGUUUGACGAAAGCAAAUCUGUCUCCUCUUUACUACUUAGAACUUGACCUUUAGGUGAAGAGGCCUAAAUAUCAUUGAAGGACAAGAAGACCCUGUCGAGCUUAAAAGAACAUGUAGAAGUUAAUAUAGUUAAAAAUAAAUAAUCUACUAAGCUUUUUAGUUGGGGCGACUAAGGAACAAAAAAAGCUUCUUAAUUAAAAAAAACCAACAAGUUUAGAUCCAACCAGCUUGAUCAAAGAAAUUAGUUACCGCAGGGAUAACAGCAUAAUCUCUCUUGAGAGACCUAAUCGAAAGGGGGGGUUGUGACCUCGAUGUUGGACUAGAAUAUCCUAAAGAUGCAGAAGUCUUUAAGGGUUGGUCUGUUCGACCAUAAAAAUUCU